Molecule: non-coding RNA, 114 nt
Organism: Acanthosepion pharaonis
Lineage: Eukaryota; Metazoa; Mollusca; Cephalopoda; Sepiida; Sepiidae
Source: the annotation of a GenBank genome assembly
UGACGGUCAUAUCAGUUUUAAACACUGCUUCCCGUACGAUCACCGAAAUUAAGCAACGUCGAGAUUGGUCAGUACCUAGAUGACUGACCGCUUGAAAAUACCAGGUUCUGCAAG